RNAcentral lists this ribosomal RNA (1477 nucleotides) under uncultured fungus. RNAcentral's name for it is "eukaryotic LSU rRNA". The stretch from base 538 to 1477 matches the Rfam family "Eukaryotic large subunit ribosomal RNA", at positions 1 to 950 of the family's 3401-position model. Lineage: Eukaryota; Fungi. The record is from RNAcentral.
GGAAGGAUCAUUAAGAUGCGGCGCCUCAUUCAUGGCGUCGACUCACUUAUCCACACCCACUCUGAGUUCCUUGCCUGUUGCUUCCGUGAGGGGUCCCUCCCUCGCGAGUAAGAAGCACCUUGAAACGCGGAAUACCAAUGUCUUCAGUCUGACUAUGUAUGUAACAAUUGUUAAAACUUUCAGCAACGGAUCUCUUGGUUCUCGCAUCGAUGAAGAACGCAGCGAAAUGCGAUAAGUAGUGUGAAUUGCAGAAUUCAGUGAAUCAUCGAAUCUUUGAACGCACAUUGCGCCUCCUGGCAUUCCGGGAGGCAUGCCUGUUCGAGCGUCAGCACCGCAACCCUCUCAAGCGACACCUUUGCUUGGUCCUGGAGGAGGAGGACGAAAAUGAUCUCCUCCCCUCCGAAAUCCAAUGGCAGAGCUCCUUGCACAGCCCGGCGUAGUAAAGUCUACAUAAGUCAUCGCCGUUGCAUGUGCAGGCGUCCAGCCGCUGAAACCGGCGCCCCACCCUUGGUUGGGCCCAAGAAAAACAUUUCAGGUCGACCCCGAAUCAGGUAGGGAUACCCGCUGAACUUAAGCAUAUCAAUAAGCGGAGGAAAAGAAACCAACAGGGAUUGCCCCAGUAACUGCGAGUGAAGCGGCAAAAGCUCAAAUUUGAAAUCUGGCGCCUUUGGCGUCCGAGUUGUAAUUUGGAGAGACAUCUUCGGGGAUGGCAUACUGUCCUAAGUUCCUUGGAACAGGACGUCACAGAGGGUGAGAAUCCCGUGCCUGGAUGGUUGUCCAUCCCCAUUGUGAAGGGUCUUCGACGAGUCGAGUUGUUUGGGAAUGCAGCUCAAAAUGGGUGGUAAACGUCAUCUAAAGCUAAAUAUUGGCGAGAGACCGAUAGCGCACAAGUAGAGUGAUCGAAAGAUGAAAAGCACUUUGAAAAGAGAGUAAAAUAGUACGUGAAAUUGUUGAAAGGGAAGCGCUUGAGACCAGACACGGUCCGUGGUAAUCGCCCGCGCUUCGGUGCAGGUGCUCUUACCAUGACCGGUGCCAGCAUCGGUUCUGGCGGUGGGAUAAAAGGCAGGGGAAUGUAGCUUCCUCACUGGGAGUGUUAGAGCCCCUGUCACAAUGCCACCAGUCGGGACCGAGGACUGCGCUUCAGCUAGGAUGUUGGCGUAAUGGUCUUAAGCGACCCGUCUUGAAACACGGACCAAGGAGUCUAACAUCUAUGCGAGUGUUCGGGUGGAAAACCCUUGCGCGUAAUGAAAGUGAACGGAGGUGGGAACCCCGAAAGGGAGUGCACCAUCGACCGAUCCUGAUGUCUUCGGAAGGAUUUGAGUAAGAGCAUAGCUGUUGGGACCCGAAAGAUGGUGAACUAUGCCUGAAUAGGGUGAAGCCAGAGGAAACUCUGGUGGAGGCUCGCAGCGGUUCUGACGUGCAAAUCGAUCGUCAAAUUUGGGUAUAGGGGCGAAAGACUAAUCGAACCAUCUAGUAG